UUUAAAAAAAUCAAUAUAUAGAACACAAUCUUAUAUUAAUUAAUUUAUUUAUUUACAAUGCACUGAAUUUCAUAGGCUUACAUAAACUGAAUUUAAUUUGGUAUUAAUUAAAAUUAGAGUAUAAUUUGAUGGAAUAGUAAUGAAGGUUUUAUGGUCGACCACCAGGGGUUCCUCUUCUUGGCUCAUGACUUGGGUUAGCACUUGGUUCGUUAUAAUCCAUUAAUAUUUCUUCUUCAUUUCCGAGUAUCUUUCUCAUAACUUUUCCUUUUGAUCUCCCAAUUCUCAUCUGCCAAAUAUUUUACAAGCAAAGUUAUAUAUUUUGCAUUUUAAACACAAGCUAAUAUUUUGCAUUUAAAAUAACUAUACUAAUAAUUAAUGAGAAAAAUAUUAAAUUAUGUAAUUAUAAUAUUUUAUAUAUACCUGACCACAAGGGUUACUGUGUUCUUCAUUUAAACCCUCCUUCAAGCUCAUACCUGCAUGAACUCCUUCUGCAAUGAAAUAUAUAUAUCAUCAUCAUCAUCAAAUCAGUUCCUUACUUUUCUAGAUUCAAAUUUUUGCUCGAAAAUUAAAAUAGAAUUGUUAGAAGUAAGCAUAAUUUAACAAAAGGUAAUGUUAAUAAUAUUCACAUUAUUGUUGGGUCAAAUAACUUAAAUCUUAAUCGAUAUAUAGGAACAUUUAUCUCUAGAGAUAGAUUGAAAGAGUUUGGUUUUCCUCCUUCCGUAGUUUGUAGGUUAGUUGUUUUAAUCUUGGCAUUAAAAAAUUGGAGAUAUUUAUAAAUAUAAGAAAAGAUCGUUAAGGAUAUAUUUUGUUGUAUUAUAUUUGUAAAUAAGACAACAUUUUAAAGUUAUAAACUUUAAGAAAUGAGGAGAAAAUCAAAGAGAAAAAUACCUGAAUAGUUAAGGGAAGAGAUGAAGAAGAGGAUGGAGAUGAGAAUGAAGGUGUUAAGUAGAAUAUUGGAAGCCAUUGGUGCUUUGAGGUUAGUUAUUGAUGAGUGAUAUUAAAUGAGAGAGUUAUGUGUAUAUAUAUAUAGAUUGAUGAGAUUGGAGAAUAAAAAUAGGGUUUAAUUGAUUUUAUAUAGAGAGAAAAGAAGAGAGAAUUAAUUAAUUAAUUAAUUGAAUAAGGUAUGGAAGGUGUUA
This 1136-nucleotide long non-coding RNA is filed under the name Cucumis sativus (cucumber). RNAcentral describes it as "long non-coding RNA (CSAT_LNC001413)". The record is from RNAcentral. Lineage: Eukaryota; Viridiplantae; Streptophyta; Magnoliopsida; Cucurbitales; Cucurbitaceae.